Phyllostomus discolor (pale spear-nosed bat) is the source of this 459-nucleotide long non-coding RNA. RefSeq lists it as uncharacterized. Lineage: Eukaryota; Metazoa; Chordata; Mammalia; Chiroptera; Phyllostomidae. The record is from RefSeq and is a predicted model, not a curated record. The transcript is spliced from 2 exons.
GUUCUUACUUAAUGGUUUUUGUUGAACCUGUUUGCCUCCCCCAGCAGCUCAGCACGCCUGGAGACCGUCAUUCGCCCCAGUGUUCCCUGGAUCAACUGACCAGUGCCUGGCAUAGCGGAGCCUGGGCAGCCACAGGGAAGUCGCUGACUAUGGAGCUGCUGAGCUAAUUAAAAACGACAAAGCACCAUGUAACUGCCAGCAAUUGAUAAGUCCCCUGCCUCUUCCUGCCUCUUUCCCUUGCCCUCCUUGGCACUGUCUGUGUUGGAGGUCACCACACAGACACAGAGGCAGGCAGAGCGGCAGAACUGAGCACAGACUGGCUUCAGGAGGCCUGGAGGCCGGCUGCCUCUGCGACCCCCUUGCAGUGGGACCCUGAGCAGGGAAGCUCCCUUCUUAUAUUGGCUCCAUUUCCCUGUUUCAGGGCUCCUGACCUUGCAUUAAGAGGAGGGCAAGGCUAAG